RNAcentral lists this ribosomal RNA (253 nucleotides) under uncultured bacterium. Its description in RNAcentral is "partial 16S ribosomal RNA". It matches the Rfam family "Bacterial small subunit ribosomal RNA", at positions 524 to 776 of the family's 1533-position model. The record is from RNAcentral.
UACAGAGGGUGCGAGCGUUGUCCGGAAUCACUGGGCGUAAAGGGCUCGUAGGUGGCCAACUAAGUCAGACGUGAAAUCCCUCGGCUUAACCGGGGAACUGCGUCUGAUACUGGAUGGCUUGAGUUUGGGAGAGGGACGCGGAAUUCCAGGUGUAGCGGUGAAAUGCGUAGAUAUCUGGAGGAACACCGGUGGCGAAGGCGGCGUCCUGGACCAACACUGACACUGAUGAGCGAAAGCCAGGGGAGCAAACGGG